Molecule: small nuclear RNA, 101 nt
Organism: Beta vulgaris subsp. vulgaris (sugar beet)
Lineage: Eukaryota; Viridiplantae; Streptophyta; Magnoliopsida; Caryophyllales; Amaranthaceae
Source: Rfam
GUCUCUUCGGAGACAUCUGAUAAAAUUGGAACGAUACAGAGAAGAUUAGCAUGGUCUUUCAAAAAAAAAAAAAUAUAUAUAUAUAUAUAGUCAAAGUUUGU